GUGGGGAAUAUUGGGCAAUGGGCGAAAGCCUGACCCAGCAACGCCGCGUGAAGGAAGAAGGUCUUCGGAUCGUAAACUUCUAUCCUUGGUGAAGAUAAUGACGGUAGCCGAGAAGGAAGCCCCGGCUAACUACGUGCCAGCAGCCGCGGUAAUACGUAGGGGGCAAGCGUUGUCCGGAAUGAUUGGGCGUAAAGGGCGCGUAGGCGGCCUGGUAAGUCUGGAGUGAAAGUCCUGCUUUUAAGGUGGGAAUUGCUUUGGAUACUGUCGGGCUUGAGUGCAGGAGAGGUAAGUGGAAUUCCCGGUGGAGCGGUGAAAUGCGUAGAGAUCGGGAGGAACACCAGUGGCGAAGGCGACUUACUGGACUGUAACUGACGCUGAGGCGCGAAAGUGUGGGGAGCAAACAGGAUUAGAUCCCCAGUAGUCC
RNAcentral lists this ribosomal RNA (424 nucleotides) under uncultured bacterium. RNAcentral describes it as "partial 16S ribosomal RNA". It matches the Rfam family "Bacterial small subunit ribosomal RNA", at positions 354 to 796 of the family's 1533-position model. The record is from RNAcentral.